AUACAGGCUAGCGGCGGACGGGUGAGUAACACGUGGGUAACCUGCCCAAGAGAUCGGGAUAACACCUGGAAACAGAUGCUAAUACCGGAUAACAACAGAUGAUGCCUAUCAACUGUUUAAAAGAUGGUUCUGCUAUCACUCUUGGAUGGACCUGCGAUGCAUUAGCUAGUUGGUAAGGUAACGGCUUACCAAGGCGAUGAUGCAUAGCCGAGUUGAGAGACUGAUCGGCCACAUUGGGACUGAGACACGGCCCAAACUCCUACGGGAGGCAGCAGUAGGGAAUCUUCCACAAUGGACGAAAGUCUGAUGGAGCAACGCCGCGUGAGUGAAGAAGGUUUUCGGAUCGUAAAGCUCUGUUGUUGGUGAAGAAGGAUAGAGGUAGUAACUGGCCUUUAUUUGACGGUAAUCAACCAGAAAGUCACGGCUAACUACGUGCCAGCAGCCGCGGUAAUACGUAGGUGGCAAGCGUUGUCCGGAUUUAUUGGGCGUAAAGCGAGCGCAGGCGGAUUGAUAAGUCUGAUGUGAAAGCCUUCGGCUCAACCGAAGAACUGCAUCAGAAACUGUCAAUCUUGAGUGCAGAAGAGGAGAGUGGAACUCCAUGUGUAGCGGUGGAAUGCGUAGAUAUAUGGAAGAACACCAGUGGCGAAGGCGGCUCUCUGGUCUGUAACUGACGCUGAGGCUCGAAAGCAUGGGUAGCGAACAGGAUUAGAUACCCUGGUAGUCCAUGCCGUAAACGAUGAGUGCUAAGUGUUGGGAGGUUUCCGCCUCUCAGUGCUGCAGCUAACGCAUUAAGCACUCCGCCUGGGGAGUACGA
RNAcentral lists this ribosomal RNA (814 nucleotides) under uncultured bacterium. RNAcentral's name for it is "bacterial SSU rRNA". It matches the Rfam family "Bacterial small subunit ribosomal RNA", at positions 85 to 885 of the family's 1533-position model. The record is from RNAcentral.